RNAcentral lists this ribosomal RNA (274 nucleotides) under uncultured bacterium. Its description in RNAcentral is "partial 16S ribosomal RNA". It matches the Rfam family "Bacterial small subunit ribosomal RNA", at positions 523 to 796 of the family's 1533-position model. The record is from RNAcentral.
AUACGGGGGGUGCAAGCGUUGUCCGGAAUCAUUGGGCGUAAAGGGUUCGUAGGUGGAAUUAUAAGUCUGGUGUGAAAGCCCACAGCUCAACUGUGGAACUGCACUGGAUACUGUUUUUCUUGAGUUAUAGAGGGGUUUGUGGAAUUUCUGGUGUAGAGGUGAAAUUUGUAGAGAUCAGAAAGAACACCGGUGGCGAAGGCGACAAACUGGCUAUUAACUGACACUGAGAAACGAAAGCGUGGGGAGCGAACAGGAUUAGAAACCCCAGUAGUCC